Molecule: ribosomal RNA, 700 nt
Filed under: uncultured bacterium
Lineage: Bacteria
Description: bacterial SSU rRNA
Rfam family: Bacterial small subunit ribosomal RNA
Source: RNAcentral
AGAGUUUGAUCCUGGCUCAGGAUGAACGCUAGCGGCAGGCGUAAUACAUGCAAGUCGAGCGGCAAGUCGAGGAGUAAUCUGAGACCUAGAGCGGCGUACGGGUGCGUAACGCGUAUGCAACCUACCUCAUACAGGGGGAUAGCCCGGAGAAAUCUGGAUUAAUACCCCAUGGCACAGCACAAGGGCAUCUGCGAGCUGUUAAAGAUUCAUCGGUAUGAGAUGGGCAUGCGUCUGAUUAGCUAGUUGGCGGUGUAACGGACCACCAAGGCGACGAUCAGUAGGGGUUCUGAGAGGAAGGUCCCCCACACUGGCACUGAGAUACGGGCCAGACUCCUACGGGAGGCAGCAGUAGGGAAUAUUGGGCAAUGGACGAGAGUCUGACCCAGCCAUGCCGCGUGCAGGAAGACGGCGUUCUGCGUUGUAAACUGCUUUUAUCUGGGAAGAAAAGGCCCGUGCGCGGGACAUUGCCGGUACCAGAUGAAUAAGCACCGGCUAACUCCGUGCCAGCAGCCGCGGUAAUACGGAGGGUGCAAGCGUUGUCCGGAUUUAUUGGGUUUAAAGGGUGCGUAGGCGGCUGUUUAAGUCAGUGGUGAAAGACAUCGGCUCAACCGAUGCAGUGCCAUUGAUACUGGGCAGCUUGAGUGUUGGAGGGGUACAUGGAAUUGAUGGUGUAGCGGUGAAAUGCAUAGAUACCAUCAGG